This 236-nucleotide unclassified non-coding RNA is filed under the name Oxyporus populinus. RNAcentral describes it as "partial internal transcribed spacer region". The stretch from base 1 to 46 matches the Rfam family "Eukaryotic small subunit ribosomal RNA", at positions 1786 to 1831 of the family's 1831-position model. The record is from RNAcentral. Lineage: Eukaryota; Fungi; Basidiomycota; Agaricomycetes; Hymenochaetales; Schizoporaceae.
AAGUCGUAACAAGGUUUCCGUAGGUGAACCUGCGGAAGGAUCAUUAACGAGUCGUUACGGGGUUGUUUGCUGGCUUCUGUCACGGGAGCAUGUGCACGCCUCGCAUCCACUUCAACCUCACCUGUGCACUUCAGAGGACCUCUUCGGUCUUCUUUCACACAAACCACAUAAUGUCAUAGUAGAACGUUUUUUGUUAUUAAACAAUACAACUUUCAACAACGGAUCUCUUGGCUCUC